RNAcentral lists this ribosomal RNA (254 nucleotides) under uncultured bacterium. Its description in RNAcentral is "partial 16S ribosomal RNA". It matches the Rfam family "Bacterial small subunit ribosomal RNA", at positions 524 to 776 of the family's 1533-position model. The record is from RNAcentral.
GACGUAGGGCGCGAGCGUUGUCCGGAUUUAUUGGGCGUAAAGAGCUCGUAGGCGGCUUGUUGCGUCGACUGUGAAAACCUGCGGCUCAACCGUGUGGUCUGCAGUCGAUACGGGCAGGCUGGAGUUCGGUAGGGGAGACUGGAAUUCCUGGUGUAGCGGUGAAAUGCGUAGAUAUCUGGAGGAACACCGGUGGCGAAGGCGGCAUCCUGGACCAACACUGACACUGAGGAGCGAAAGCCAGGGGAGCAAACGGG